Molecule: long non-coding RNA, 452 nt
Organism: Labrus bergylta (ballan wrasse)
Lineage: Eukaryota; Metazoa; Chordata; Actinopteri; Labriformes; Labridae
Source: RefSeq, a predicted model, not a curated record
UCCACUCAGCCUGCCUCCGCUUCACUCUGUCUGCCGAUCACUCCCACCUCAUCAAGCUCAACCCCGCUCACCUGCGGACACAGCUGCCUCUCGUCUGCAAUCAAGCCAGUAGGAAAACCUCUCCUGCUCACUCGCACAUUUCAAGACCGUUCUUUGACAUCAAAUGCUCGACUCUCCAGCCCUCACUCUGUUACUGAGUCCCUCUUUCUGACCCUGCAUGCAUUGUUAUGAUCCUUAAAAUCAUCUCAGCCGCCUGCCCCUGACCUUGAAGUCUGCCCCAGUGUCACUUGUUCCUGUCUGCCUCUUCCUCUGGCCGUGUGCUGACUCUUAACAAACAAUGCUGCAGAUUUGGACCCCCAAGCCGAAGCCUCCAGUCCACGCCAAAGAACUGAACUUUACCUACCUGUUUGUCCUUUACAAGCUGAGUCUUAAGUAAAGAUUCUUACCAACUA